This 23-nucleotide small nuclear RNA is filed under the name Arabidopsis thaliana (thale cress). Its description in RNAcentral is "snRNA_02454". Lineage: Eukaryota; Viridiplantae; Streptophyta; Magnoliopsida; Brassicales; Brassicaceae. The record is from RNAcentral.
UAGGACAUCUCCAUCAGUGAGAU